UACGAGGGGUGCAAGCGUUGUCCGGAAUUAUUGGGCGUAAAGAGUUCGUAGGCGGUGAUUCAAGUCUGGUGUUAAAUACCGAAGCUCAACUUCGGCUUGGCAUUGGAAACUGGAUCGCUAGAGUGUGUCAGAGGUAACUGGAAUUCCAGGUGUAGCGGUGAAAUGCGUAGAUAUCUGGAGGAACACCCGUGGCGAAAGCGAGUUACUGGGACAUUACUGACGCUGAGGAACGAAAGCCAGGGGAGCAAAAGGG
RNAcentral lists this ribosomal RNA (253 nucleotides) under uncultured Vampirovibrio sp. RNAcentral describes it as "partial 16S ribosomal RNA". It matches the Rfam family "Bacterial small subunit ribosomal RNA", at positions 524 to 776 of the family's 1533-position model. The record is from RNAcentral. Lineage: Bacteria; Bacillati; Candidatus Melainabacteria; Vampirovibriophyceae; Vampirovibrionales; Vampirovibrionaceae.